Acanthosepion pharaonis is the source of this 114-nucleotide non-coding RNA. The record is from the annotation of a GenBank genome assembly. Lineage: Eukaryota; Metazoa; Mollusca; Cephalopoda; Sepiida; Sepiidae.
UUACGGCCAUAUGAUGGUGAAAUAUCAGCGAUCGUGCGAGCACCGAAGUUAAGCAAUAUUGAACCUGGUCAGUACCUAGUUGGGUGAACGCUUGGGAAUAGCAGGAGCUGUCAG